This is a non-coding RNA of Paralichthys olivaceus (Japanese flounder), 554 nucleotides long. Lineage: Eukaryota; Metazoa; Chordata; Actinopteri; Pleuronectiformes; Paralichthyidae. The record is from RefSeq and is a predicted model, not a curated record.
GAACCAUUGGAUGGGAUUCACCUGACCUGAUUAGGGCGUCCAUCCAGGCCCUCCAGCAGAGCAUCCUCAGCUGAGAGGAGUUGUACAGUCAUGGCCGGGGGGAUACAAGACCUCCUCAGUCUCUGUUGGGCAGGACUGAGACAGCAGUCUGUCACUGGGGAAGCAGUGCACAGUUCUGGUGGGAACAACAACUUCCAUGCAGAAGUUCCAAUGAUGUUGAAUGUGGAGCUGGGGAUAUUUUUAGAGAAAACUUUGGGAACAGGACCGGACCCCCUGCAUCACAGGCCUCUGGUGAAUUGUCGUAUGUUUGUGGAAGUAGUCCCUUGUGCAUCAGGGCCUCCUCUCCUCCUCUACACUACAGCUCUGCUAGAUCCCCCUUUACUUCUGCAGAUACAGGACAUGACAGUUCUGCUUUUAGAUAAACAUUGUUCCGCCCACAACUAUUUCCAUUUGUAGUAAUCUGCAUAUGAAGGACACAGUCUGUGUGGACUGUUUAAAAACCUAGUAGAAUCAGUAUGAUUAAAUUUGAAAUAUACCAAAGGCCAUGUUUCCUU